GUGGAUGUAGAUCAGUGGUAGAUCUCCAGAUUGUGGAUCUGGCCGUCGCGGGUUCGAACCCCGUCAUCCACC
RNAcentral lists this transfer RNA (72 nucleotides) under Treponema sp. Its description in RNAcentral is "tRNA-His". It matches the Rfam family "tRNA". From Rfam's summary of the family: Transfer RNA (tRNA) molecules are approximately 80 nucleotides in length. Their secondary structure includes four short double-helical elements and three loops (D, anti-codon, and T loops). The record is from RNAcentral. Lineage: Bacteria; Pseudomonadati; Spirochaetota; Spirochaetia; Treponematales; Treponemataceae.